This is a long non-coding RNA of Oncorhynchus tshawytscha (Chinook salmon), 365 nucleotides long. RefSeq lists it as uncharacterized. The record is from RefSeq and is a predicted model, not a curated record. Lineage: Eukaryota; Metazoa; Chordata; Actinopteri; Salmoniformes; Salmonidae. The transcript has 2 exons.
UGUUUACAGUCAGUGGUCUAUUAUUCCUCCCGUCUCGAUGAGGUGAUGCCCCUGUGUUUACAGUCAGUGGUCUAUUAUUCCUCCCGUCUCGAUGAGGUGAUGCCCCUGUGUUUACAGUCAGUGGUCUAUUAUUCCUCCCGUCUCGAUGAGGUGAUGCCCCUGUGUUUACAGUCAGUGGUCUAUUAUUCCUCCCGUCUCGAUGAGGUGACGCCCCUGUGUUUACAGUCAGUGGUCUAUUAUUCCUCCCGUCUCGAUGAGGUGAUGCCCCUGUGUUUACAGUCAGUGGUCUAUUAUUCCUCCCGUCUCGAUGAGGUGAUGCCCCUGUGUUUACAGUCAGUGGUCUAUUAUUCCUCCCGUCUCGAUGA